Molecule: non-coding RNA, 64 nt
Organism: Cavia porcellus (domestic guinea pig)
Lineage: Eukaryota; Metazoa; Chordata; Mammalia; Rodentia; Caviidae
Source: Rfam
GGGGAUUUAGCUCAGUGGCAUAAGCACCUGCCUUGCAAGCAGGUGGUGAUGAGUUGGAUCCCUG